This 253-nucleotide ribosomal RNA is filed under the name uncultured bacterium. RNAcentral's name for it is "partial 16S ribosomal RNA". It matches the Rfam family "Bacterial small subunit ribosomal RNA", at positions 524 to 776 of the family's 1533-position model. The record is from RNAcentral.
UACGUAGGGUGCAAGCGUUAAUCGGAAUUACUGGGCGUAAAGCGUGCGCAGGCGGUUGUGCAAGACAGAUGUGAAAUCCCCGGGCUUAACCUGGGAACUGCAUUUGUGACUGCACAGCUGGAGUGCGGCAGAGGGGGAUGGAAUUCCGCGUGUAGCAGUGAAAUGCGUAGAGAUCCGGAGGAACACCGAAGGCGAAGGCAGUGUCCUGGCGAGUGACUGACGCUGAGGUGCGAAAGCCAGGGGAGCGAACGGG